UUUACGUAUUACGUACUACGUAGAGCGUUGUGUCUGAACACUCUUCCGUUCCCAGCUACGUAACUCGGAGCGUAAAAACGUUAUACGUAGUACGUAAAACGCUCAAAAAGGCUGUAGUCUGAACGUGGCUUUACAGACACACAGGCAUACAGGCAUACGUUUACGGAAAAUCGCUAGUGUAGAUUGAACGGAAUAAGCUUUCCGUAUGCCUGUAUCGAGUCUGUAUGUAUGUAUGACCGAAACUUGUCUUUAAAAACUGCUAGUAUAGACGUACCUUUACCUAUUAUUUUACGUUCAAGUGUCUCAGUCUGGAGUCAAUGUUAUGAAGUAGUGCUUGGAUGACGUGUACAAGCCGGCAGAUUCAUUUAUUGGUUGCAAGCAAUUAUGAACAUUUUUAUACUAGUGCUCUUGCUAUGAGUUUUCACACCCUGCUUUAAAUUAUCUGAUCAAAUGGUGUAAUAAAGUUAUAUUGAAACAA
Long non-coding RNA from Daphnia magna, 478 nucleotides. RefSeq lists it as uncharacterized. The transcript is spliced from 2 exons. NCBI's taxonomy places the organism in Eukaryota, Metazoa, Arthropoda, Branchiopoda, Diplostraca, Daphniidae. The record is from RefSeq and is a predicted model, not a curated record.